This 500-nucleotide ribosomal RNA is filed under the name uncultured bacterium. RNAcentral's name for it is "bacterial SSU rRNA". It matches the Rfam family "Bacterial small subunit ribosomal RNA", at positions 423 to 924 of the family's 1533-position model. The record is from RNAcentral.
UUGUAAACUGCUUUUAUCCGGGAAUAAACCUUUCUACGUGUAGAGAGCUGAAUGUACCGGAAGAAUAAGGAUCGGCUAACUCCGUGCCAGCAGCCGCGGUAAUACGGAGGAUCCAAGCGUUAUCCGGAUUUAUUGGGUUUAAAGGGUGCGUAGGCGGCCUGUUAAGUCAGGGGUGAAAGACGGUAGCUCAACUAUCGCAGUGCCCUUGAUACUGAUGGGCUUGAAUGGACUAGAGGUAGGCGGAAUGAGACAAGUAGCGGUGAAAUGCAUAGAUAUGUCUCAGAACACCGAUUGCGAAGGCAGCUUACUAUGGUUCUAUUGACGCUGAGGCACGAAAGCGUGGGGAUCGAACAGGAUUAGAUACCCUGGUAGUCCACGCCCUAAACGAUGAACACUCGCUGUUGGCGAUACACAGUCAGCGGCUAAGCGAAAGCGUUAAGUGUUCCACCUGGGGAGUACGGUCGCAAGAUUGAAACUCAAAGGAAUUGACGGAAUCACUA